AUGAACGCUGGCGGCGUGCCUCAUACCUGCCAGUCGAGCGAACGGACGAGAAGCUUGCUUUUCUGAUGUUAGCGGCGGACGGGUGAGUAACACGUGGAUAACCUACCUAUAAGACUGGGAUAACUUCGGGAAACCGGAGCUAAUACCGGAUAAUAUUUUGAACCGCAUGGUUCAAAAGUGAAAGACGGUCUUGCUGUCACUUAUAGAUGGAUCCGCGCUGCAUUAGCUAGUUGGUAAGGUAACGGCUUACCAAGGCAACGAUGCAUAGCCGACCUGAGAGGGUGAUCGGCCACACUGGGACUGAGACACGGUCCAGACUCCUACGGGAGGCAGCAGUAGGGAAUCUUCCGCAAUGGGCGAAAGCCUGACGGAGCAACGCCGCGUGAGUGAUGAAGGUCUUCGGAUCGUAAAACUCUGUUAUUAGGGAAGAACAUAUGUGUAAGUAACUGUGCACAUCUUGACGGUACCUAAUCAGAAAGCCACGGUUAACUACGUG
This 496-nucleotide ribosomal RNA is filed under the name uncultured bacterium. Its description in RNAcentral is "partial 16S ribosomal RNA". It matches the Rfam family "Bacterial small subunit ribosomal RNA", at positions 29 to 507 of the family's 1533-position model. The record is from RNAcentral.